UCUACAAUCUCAUUUUCCUUAAUACCUUAAAUACACAAUUUUCACUUUCUUGCUUAUUUAGGAGCUUGCAAGAUUCGGAAGCAGAUUGCUGAGUAUGGCUACCCAGCUUUAAAACUACCGAGGAAACUAUGAAAGAGUCUUACUCUUUCUCCAUUCAGGAAGACUGGAAAUCAAGAGCAAAUGUUUCUGUUACCAGAAGAGACGGGCAGAAUUUACUCAAAGAUGUUACCUCCUGCUUUGUUUCUCCUGCAAAAGAGCACAGCAGAGAGAUCAUAAACCCCACUGGUUCUGCAGAGUUUCAGAUGUCCUGA
Molecule: long non-coding RNA, 311 nt
Filed under: Numida meleagris (helmeted guineafowl)
Lineage: Eukaryota; Metazoa; Chordata; Aves; Galliformes; Numididae
Description: lncRNA (ENSNMEG00000000410.1)
Source: RNAcentral